This 1031-nucleotide long non-coding RNA is filed under the name Marmota monax (woodchuck). Lineage: Eukaryota; Metazoa; Chordata; Mammalia; Rodentia; Sciuridae. The record is from RNAcentral.
UCUUGGUGAAAAUUUAUUUGUUAUUUUUUAAGAUUAUAAAUAAUGCUGUCAUAUCCUGCUUUUUAUUUAAAGCCUUGCAUAUAUUUUGUUUAUAUUGCCAAUAGGAUAAAUUCUGAAAUAUGAAAUUACUAUGAGUCAAAGAUAUUAGGUAAGAUCUGACCCAAAGGGAAAAAUCUACUACAUUAUAGGGAGGCAAAUAUUCAAUUAAUUAAUAGUUCUAUAAAAUAUAUUUGGCCAGUGGGUUUGAAAAUUUAUAAUAUUAUGGUUGCAUAUUCUUGGAAGCAUUCUGUAUGGGACAUAAAGUCCUAAAUUUGUGGAUUUAGGAAACUGUGCCUUGUAUAAUAAGAUAUAUGAAGUAUAAACAAUAGAAUUGGAGGAAGCCACAAUGUUUACAUUCCUAAAACUACAAGUGAGCCAAAAAAAAAAAAAAAACACCCUGGGAGUACCAGUCAUUGGUGUGAGGGUUGGCUGGAAUUAAGUUUUGCAGUUACCACACCAACCCCCUUUUUGUUUUAAUGGACUAUAAUUUGAAAAAAUCCAUAUGCAAAAUGAAGUCAUCAAGGAUGAAACACCAUCACCUGACUCUGGAAAAGAGAUCUCAUUCAAUGACUUUGAAAGGUAUAUGUACCAGGAAUUCAGGAUGAGAGAAAAAAAUACACUUGGAAUGGAAUAAAGGAGAAUAUCCUGAGCCUAAAAACCCAAUGGGUAAUUGUAUAUUCACACUGAUUGAUGUUCUGGAGGUAAUUCUACCUGGAAUGCACUGGGAGAUAGUAGUACUCAUUCUCCUUUUGACUUCUGGGACCUGAUGUGGAUUACUGUAUCUCACUGUCACCAAGGAGGUCAAAUCUAUCCAAUAGUUAUAGGACAGGGAGCCGGUGAUGGAUCGAACACUUGAACACAUUUCCUGCAUUUUAGCUAAUAAUUUUUCUUAAAGUUUCUACCAAUUUAUACACGAGAACUAAAUAUUAUUUUAUUAUUUGCUAAAGUAGAUAAUAAAAAAUAAUGCUUCUUAUUUUAAUCAUUACUUUUUU